AAGAAUCACAGCGAGGAGACCAAUCACAGCGGUGGUGGUGGUGGUGGUGGUGGUGGUGGGUAGUAGUGGUGGUGGAGGUGGUGGUGGAGGGAGAAGAGUUGAGAAAGAGAGAGAGAUGGAGUUUUGGUUGCGGUGGUGAGGGUGAGAAAGAGAGAUCGAGUUUUAGGUUGUGUUUUUUUUGCUGAAUUCUAAGUCAUUUUAGUAGUAAUGGAGAAGAUGAGAACAGAUGAAGAAGAUGAGAAGAAGAUGCUUACCCAGCGAGAAGAAGACGAGAAGAAUCACAGCAGUGGUGGUGGUGGUGGUGGUGGGUAGUAGUGGUGGUGGAGAAAGAGAGAUCGAGUUUUAGGUUGCGGUGGUGAGGGUGAGAAAGAGAGAUCGAGUUUUUUGCGGUGGUGAGGGUGAGAAAGAGAGAUCGAGUGAGGUUGCGGCCGCCAUUAGAGAGAGAGAGAGAUCGAGUUUUAGGUUUGUUUUUUUUUUUUUUUUUUAUGUUAUAUAGUGUGGCGAAAAAUGUUGGCGAAUUCGCGGUGAAUAAAAAAACACCUAUUCGGGUGGGCGAAAAAAUGGUCGAUUCGCCGAGUUUUUUUGGUGAAUGAGUGUAUUUUGACAAAAAAAUCCGGUGUAUAAAUAAUUUACUCCAAAUACGCCAAAUUCGCCGAGUCUUUAUCAAACAUCAAGAAUACCGGUGAAACGCGGCGAAUCACCCAUUCACCACGGCGAAUCGGUUAUCAAACAGGGCCUA
This 739-nucleotide long non-coding RNA is filed under the name Aquilegia coerulea. RNAcentral's name for it is "long non-coding RNA (ACOE_LNC000962)". The record is from RNAcentral. Lineage: Eukaryota; Viridiplantae; Streptophyta; Magnoliopsida; Ranunculales; Ranunculaceae.